UAGGGAAUCUUCGGCAAUGGACGAAAGUCUGACCGAGCAACGCCGCGUGAGUGAAGAAGGUUUUCGGAUCGUAAAACUCUGUUGUUAGAGAAGAACAAGGACGUUAGUAACUGAACGUCCCCUGACGGUAUCUAACCAGAAAGCCACGGCUAACUACGUGCCAGCAGCCGCGGUAAUACGUAGGUGGCAAGCGUUGUCCGGUUUUAUUGGGCGUAAAGCGAGCGCAGGCGGUUUCUUAAGUCUGAUGUGAAAGCCCCCGGCUCAACCGGGGAGGGUCAUUGGAAACUGGGAGGCUUGAGUGCAGAAGAGGAGAAUGGAAUUCCAUGUGUAGCGGUGAAAUGCGUAGAUAUAUGGAGGAACACCAGUGGCGAAGGCGGCUCUCUGGUCUGUAACUGACGCUGAGGCUAGAAAGCGUGGGGAGCAAACAGG
Molecule: ribosomal RNA, 429 nt
Filed under: Gemmatimonadota bacterium
Lineage: Bacteria; Pseudomonadati; Gemmatimonadota
Description: Gemmatimonadetes bacterium partial 16S ribosomal RNA
Rfam family: Bacterial small subunit ribosomal RNA
Source: RNAcentral